AUGCGUCAAGUACAAGAGCUUCUCGACAAAGGUUAUAUACGCGAAUCCCUUAGUCCUUGUGCUGUUCCUAUUAUUCUAGUGCCGAAAAAGGAUGGUACAUCACGUAUGUGUGUUGAUUGUAGAGGCAUUAAUAAUAUUACUAUUCGUUAUCGUCAUCCUAUUCCUAGGCUAGAUGAUAUGCUUGAUGAAUUGAGUGGCUCUACAAUAUUUUCCAAAGUUGAUUUACGUAGUGGAUACCAUCAAAUUCGUAUGAAAUUGGGAGAUGAAUGGAAAACAGCAUUCAAAACUAAGUUUGGAUUAUAUGAGUGGUUAGUCAUGCCUUUUGGGUUAACUAAUGCACCUAGUACUUUCAUGAGAUUAAUAAACGAAGUUUUACGUGCUUUCAUUGGACGAUUUGUGGUAGUUUACUUUGAUGACAUAUUGAUUUAUAGCAGAUCUUUGGAAGAACAUUUGGAACAUUUACGUGCUGUUUUUAUUGCUCUACGUGAUGCACGUUUGUUUGGUAACCUUGGAAAGUGCACCUUUUGCACCGACCGAGUAUCUUUUCUUGGCUAUGUUGUUACUCCACAGGGAAUUGAAGUUGAUAAAGCCAAGAUUGAAGCUAUUGAGAGUUGGCCGCAACCCAAAACGGUCACACAAGUGAGGAGUUUUCUUGGCCUCGCUGGAUUCUAUAGGCGUUUUGUGAGAGAUUUCAGCACCAUUGCUGCACCUCUCAAUGAGCUUACAAAGAAAGAUGUGCCUUUUCUUUGGGGUACCGCACAUGAAGAAGCCUUCACGGUAUUGAAAGAUAAGUUGACACAUGCUCCUUUACUCCAACUUCCUGAUUUUAAUAAGACUUUUGAGCUUGAAUGUGAUGCUAGUGGAAUUGGAUUAGGAGGUGUGUUAUUACAAGAUGGCAAACCUGUUGCAUACUUUUCUGAAAAAUUGAGUGGGCCUAGUCUGAAUUAUUCUACUUAUGAUAAAGAAUUAUAUGCUCUUGUUCGGACUUUAGAAACAUGGCAACAUUAUUUAUGGCCCAAAGAAUUUGUUAUACAUUCUGAUCAUGAAUCUUUGAAACAUAUUAAAAGUCAAGCUAAACUGAAUCGUAGACAUGCUAAAUGGGUUGAAUUCAUUGAGACUUUCCCUUAUGUCAUUAAACACAAGAAGGGAAAAGAAAAUGUUAUUGCUGAUGCAUUGUCUCGUCGCUAUACUAUGCUUUCACAACUUGACUUCAAAAUAUUUGGUUUGGAGACCAUCAAAGAUCUAUAUGUGCAUGAUGCUGAUUUUAAAGAUGUAAUGCAGAAUUGCAAAGAAGGAAGAAUGUGGAACAAGUUUGUCGUUAACGAUGGAUUUGUGUUUCGUGCUAACAAGCUAUGCAUUCCAGCUAGCUCCGUUCGUCUUUUGUUGUUGCAGGAGGCGCAUGGAGGAGGAUUAAUGGGACACUUUGGCGUGAAGAAGACAGAGGACGUACUUGCUACACAUUUCUUUUGGCCAAAGAUGAGACGGGAUGUUGAGCGUUUUAUUGCUCGCUGCACUACAUGUCAAAAAGCUAAGUCACGACUCAAUCCUCAUGGUUUAUAUAUGCCUUUGCCUGUACCUAGUGUUCCUUGGGAGGAUAUAUCUAUGGACUUUGUUUUAGGUUUACCUCGAACAAAGAUGGGGAGGGAUAGCAUAUUUGUUGUUGUGGAUAGAUUCUCGAAAAUGGCACACUUUAUACCAUGUCAUAAAAGCGAUGAUGCUGUUCAUGUUGCUGAUUUGUUCUUUCGUGAAAUUAUUCGCUUGCAUGGUGUGCCAAAUACUAUUGUUUCAGAUCGUGACACUAAAUUUCUUAGCCACUUUUGGAGAUGUUUAUGGGCUAAGUUGGGGACUAAACUGCUUUUUAGUACUACUUGUCACCCCCAAACUGAUGGCCAAACUGAAGUAGUCAAUAGAACAUUGUCUACUAUGCUUAGGGCUGUUUUGAAGAGUAAUAAGAAAAUGUGGGAGGAAUGCUUGCCUCAUAUUGAAUUUGCUUAUAAUCAUUCAUUGCAUUCUACUACUAAGAUGUGCCCUUUUGAAGUUGUGUAUGGUUUCCUACCUCGUGCACCUAUUGAUUUGUUGCCUCUUCCAUCUUCGGAGAAGGUUAAUUUUGAUGCUAAACAACGUGCUGAAUUGAUUUUAAAAAUGCAUGAGUUAACUAAGGAAAACAUUGAGCGUAUGAAUGCUAAAUAUAAACUUGCUGGAGAUAAGGGUAGAAAACAUGUUGUGUUUGCUCCUGGAGAUCUUGUUUGGUUACAUUUGCGUAAGGAUAGAUUUCCUGAUUUGCGCAAAUCAAAGUUAAUGCCACGUGCUGAUGGUCCCUUUAAGGUGUUAGAGAAAAUAAAUGAUAAUGCAUAUAAACUUGAGCUGCCUGCAGAUUUUGGGGUUAGUCCCACUUUUAACAUUGCAGAUUUGAAGCCUUAUUUGGGUGAGGAAGAUGAACUUCCGUUGAGGACGACUUCAUUUCAAGAAGGGGAGGAUGAUGAGGACAUCAAUACAAUUGUUACACCCACAGCCCCUGCUGCUAUACAUACUGGACCAAUUACUAGAGCUCGUGCACGCCAACUAAAUUACCAGGAAACAGACCCUCGUGGUCAGGUUGAUCGUGCUCCGGCGUGGUCAAUAACCUCUCGGAGUUGGUUUAGCGAUUGCUAA
This 2652-nucleotide ribosomal RNA is filed under the name Triticum aestivum (bread wheat). RNAcentral describes it as "partial small subunit ribosomal RNA". Lineage: Eukaryota; Viridiplantae; Streptophyta; Magnoliopsida; Poales; Poaceae. The record is from RNAcentral.